This 73-nucleotide transfer RNA is filed under the name Marmota monax (woodchuck). RNAcentral describes it as "tRNA.Ser". The record is from RNAcentral. Lineage: Eukaryota; Metazoa; Chordata; Mammalia; Rodentia; Sciuridae.
GGUGAUGUGGCUCAAGCGAUAGCGCGCUCGCCUGGAAUGCGAGGGGCGCUGGGUUGGAUCCUCAGCACCACAU